Molecule: long non-coding RNA, 3084 nt
Filed under: Heterocephalus glaber (naked mole-rat)
Lineage: Eukaryota; Metazoa; Chordata; Mammalia; Rodentia; Bathyergidae
Description: lncRNA (ENSHGLG00100042521.1)
Source: RNAcentral
CGUGGACACCCAGAGUCCGGCUCCGGGACUUGAUCGAAACGUUUUUCACCUUCCUCCGCCACCCCACGGCCCCGUCGGCCCAUUUCCGCGGUGACGCGCAGGAGGAGACCCUGCCCUCUCCUGGGCACCGCGGGCAAGGCGCCGCCCCCACCCCCGGGCGCCCUCCGUCCUCAGCCCCCCGCCCACCCGCGCAGAUCGGCCUGGGGACCCCGGCCAGGCCCGGGUGCGUUCCUCCGCGCUGGCUUGACGGGGACGCGAAGGGCCCGGGCGCGGAGCCACAGGUGCGCUCGCGGCCCCCGGCGAUGGCGCAGCCAACUGGAGGGGACAGGCGGGUCCCGCCGAGCCGGAUCCCAGCGCCCGCCCCUGCAGAGGAGCCGAACCGAGGGGGCCUAAGGGGAACGCACCUGGGGAUCCUCGGGACUCCAACGCCCUCGGGUGGCCCCGCCGUUGUGGUCUUCGGGUGAUCAAGAAUUUGGGAGAGCCACCACUUUGUGGAAAAGUCUUCACCAGAAAUAAUUUCUUCAGCAGGAAAAUAAAGAUGAAAAUACGAGAGCUGUUUUGGUUGGAUAACAUAAAAAUAUAAGUUGCACAAUUUAUUUAUUUAGUUGCCGUUUGGGGGAGGGAACUGACAGCCGCACACCUGCUAAGCAAGGGCACGCCCACCGAACCACCUCGAAGCCCUGUAUUUCCGCUUUUUUUUUUUUUUUUUUGGUAGCAGGGAUCAAACUCUGGACCUUGCGGUUGUGAGGCAGGCCGCAGAACCACUCAGCUAAACCCCCGGCCCUAAACUGCUCUUUAAUAAACGUCACUUCCAGAUCUUUACGUGAAAUAUUUCUCACUUUACGAAACAAUGCCAGUUAUCUUACUUUACAAUGUAUUUCUGAAAUGUUUAUGAACUGAAAAGAAAGAAACCGAAAUACAAAUAUCAAAUUAUAUUUGCCUAUUCCAGAGGGAGCAGGAGAGUUUUCUACCUUUGCCGUAUUUGCCUCAACCUUUUAUGCACAACCUUUGACAAAAUGUCUUGCUCUUUUUUCCCUUAGUAAAGCCAGAGCCGACCGGCUUAAAUACAAGGGGUCAAAAAGAUGAGAUAAAAGUUUACCACUGUUAGCACCUGCAAUAAUGUCCCUCACUGCCUCUGUUUCCUCUUAUUUUUAAUAAGGCUAAGCCAUCAAGCCAUUGUUCAAAUACUUAUACAACACUAAUGUAGAAACACAAGACAGUGUUUCUUCUUAAACAAUCCAGAAGUCAGCUUCAGCACAAACAGCCUGUAAUGUCCAGUGGUUGUGGGGAAAAAUGCUGCUUCAGGGUGUUAGUAAAAAUGCACAAAAUCAGUUUUCCCUCUUUACACCUCAUUUAUGCAGCAAAUGAUUAUAAUCUAUGAUAUAGAAGGUUCAAUACCAAACUUAGCAAAUGACAAAGAUGAGUAAGGUACAGCCAUGGUCCUUAAAAAUGUUACAGUAAAACUUUGAUGUAAACAAUUAAGGGGUUCCCUUUUCCCAAUAAUGUGUAAUACAAAGGUCAGGGAGGCCAGAUAUGGUGGUGCACAUGAGUAUUCCCAGCAACUCCUGAGCCUGGGGCCAGGCAGGCCAAGUUGGAGGCCAGCCUGGGCGAUUCAGCUGAAAAGUCUGGGGAUAUAACUCAGGAUAGAGUGCUUGCCUAGUCUGCAGGAGGCCCUGGGUUUGAUCUCCAGUACCACGAAGAAGAAAAAAAGGUGACAUGGACUUGCAUACAUUUGUGAACCCUUCCCAGAGAUGAAGAAACUCCCUCUCAGCCAAGACAGCUGGCGCAGGAUAGUCAAAAACCAGGCUCUGGGCCCCACACAGACCCAUGCUCCACCCAGACUCAGAGCUGUUUGGUCUGUUUACAAAAGGGAAGGCCUAGCAGGCAGGAAGGCCUGGGCUCAGUCCCCUGAUGCUGCAAAAGCAAAACCCAACCAGUGGGGGAUGGUGAAAGGCACAACCCACCAGAUAACCCCUCCAACCACCAUUGCUGCCAACCUACCUCAGUACAUCCUGCCACCUUCGCCAAUGCUCAGGAACACAGUGGCUGCCAAGCCCGGGUCUGACAGAGAAUGGUUUUCAUUUAUCUUUCUCUAAAGGUGAUCCAUAAAAAUAAGGGGUGAAAUGAGUAGGUUGACAAGGUAGAGAGAUGGAACUCAGACACACACACAUUAGUCAUCUAGGUUGCUCCUCUGGAAGACCACAGUUCUGAUCUUUCUGCUACAAUUUACUUGCACAAGGGCUCAACUUCUUCAUGUGGAAAAUGGAAAUAAUAAUACCCUGCCAACCUUCCAGAUCGCCGGAGAGCAUAUGAUGAGAUAAAAUGUGAGGGUUUUUUUUGUUUUUUGAAACAGGGUAUGUCUUUGUAAUUCAAGCUGGCCUUGAAUUCGCUAUGUAGCCCAGUCUGACUUAAAACUCACAGUGAGCCUCCUGCCUCAGCCUGCUGAGUUGCUAGGAUUACAGGCAUGCACCACUGUGCCGAGCGGUGGAACCACUCAUCAAACCAAAAGCCCUUGACUGGAUGUGAAAUUUUAACCUUUAAUGUUUCCAUCUUUAUCCCACGUGUAAAUCAGUAAACCUCCUUCUUGAAAAUGCCUCAUAUUCAUUCAUUUAAAAAGCCAUAUUGGGCCAGGGAUUUAGCUCAGUGGUUCUGCCACCUGCCUUGCAGGUGCAAGGACUGGAGUUCUUGCCCCGGUACCAAAAAAAAAAAAAGCCACAUUAAGAAUCUACUCAUGUGCCCAUAACAACAGACACAAGGCUACAUGUCACCCCAGGAUAAGGAAGGUACGGACUUUGACCUAUAGGCUACCAAAGUCUGUGUUAGGAAAACAAUCACAACACAACACUAGAUGUAUUAUAAUAAAAGUGUAUUUACAGAAUUGUGGCAACACAGCGAAGGGCUUUAGACAGUUCCAAUCCACAGUCUGCCACCUCUUCACAAGUUGAUCCGACAGACGAAGCUAUUUUUUUCCCUGCCACUUGAGAUACCACCCCUCUACUGAUAGAGCAGAUCCAGGACAGGCAACCUUGGAAAUGACCUUGCAGUCAGUACCCUGAGCAGAAUUUUUAAAUUAAACAGAACCCC